ACCGGCAGCUCAAGUGGUGGCCAUUUUUAUUGGGCCUAAAGCGUUCGUAGCCGGUUUGAUAAGUCUCUGGUGAAAUCCCGCAGCUUAACUGUGGGACUUGCUGGAGAUACUAUUAGACUUGAGGUCGGGAGAGGUUAGGGGUACUCCCAGGGUAGGGGGAAAACCCAAAAAUCUGGGGGGGACCGCCUGUGGCGAAGGCGCCUAACUGGAACGAACCUGACGGUGAGUAACGAAAGCCAGGGGCGCGAACCG
RNAcentral lists this ribosomal RNA (252 nucleotides) under uncultured prokaryote. RNAcentral's name for it is "partial 16S rRNA". It matches the Rfam family "Archaeal small subunit ribosomal RNA", at positions 475 to 726 of the family's 1478-position model. The record is from RNAcentral.